UACGUAGGGGGCAAGCGUUGUCCGGAAUCAUUGGGCGUAAAGCGCGCGUAGGCGGCCCGAUAAGUCCGCUGUAAAAGUCCAGGGCUCAACCCUGGAAAGCCGGUGGAUACUGUCGGGCUAGAGUCCGGAAGAGGCGAGUGGAAUUCCUGGUGUAGCGGUGGAAUGCGCAGAUAUCAGGAGGAACACCGAUGGCGAAGGCGAAUCUCUGGACAAUUCCUGACACUGAUGCUCGAAAGCUAGGGGAGCAAACGGG
This 253-nucleotide ribosomal RNA is filed under the name uncultured bacterium. RNAcentral's name for it is "partial 16S ribosomal RNA". It matches the Rfam family "Bacterial small subunit ribosomal RNA", at positions 524 to 776 of the family's 1533-position model. The record is from RNAcentral.